RNAcentral lists this ribosomal RNA (498 nucleotides) under uncultured bacterium. RNAcentral describes it as "partial 16S ribosomal RNA". It matches the Rfam family "Bacterial small subunit ribosomal RNA", at positions 28 to 507 of the family's 1533-position model. The record is from RNAcentral.
GACGAACGCUGGCGGCGUGCCUAAUACAUGCAAGUCGAACGAGAGCAACCGGUUCUUGCACUGGUCAAUCUAGUGGCGAACGGGUGAGUAACACGUGGGUAACCUGCCCAUCAGAGGGGGAUAACAUCCGGAAACGGAUGCUAAAACCGCAUAGGUCUUCGAACCGCAUGGUUUGAAGAGGAAAAGAGGCGCAAGCUUCUGCUGAUGGAUGGACCCGCGGUGCAUUAGCUAGUUGGUGAGGUAACGGCUCACCAAGGCCGUGAUGCAUAGCCGACCUGAGAGGGUGAUCGGCCACAUUGGGACUGAGACACGGCCCAAACUCCUACGGGAGGCAGCAGUAGGGAAUCUUCCGCAAUGGACGAAAGUCUGACGGAGCAACGCCGCGUGAGUGAAGAAGGUUUUCGGAUCGUAAAACUCUGUUGUUAGAGAAGAACAAGUGCUAGAGUAACUGUUAGCGCCUUGACGGUAUCUAAACAGAAAGCCACGGCUAACUACGUA